Long non-coding RNA from Cervus elaphus (red deer), 901 nucleotides. RefSeq lists it as uncharacterized. The record is from RefSeq and is a predicted model, not a curated record. Lineage: Eukaryota; Metazoa; Chordata; Mammalia; Artiodactyla; Cervidae. The transcript has 3 exons.
CGCUUUUUGUUGCGCUGACUGAGGCGACUGUGUAGCUUUUUUCCUCUUUGUUCUAUCAAUGAGGUUUGUCACACUGGUUUUCUAUGUUGACCCACCCUCGGCUUCCUCUAACAAGUCUCUCCUGGUCACGGGGUACAGUCCCUUCAAUAUGCUGCUGAAUUUGGUUUGCUGGUAUUUGGUUGAGGAUUUUUGCGUUUACAUUCAUGAGGAAUACUGACCUAUAGUUUUCUUGCGAUGCCUUUGUCUGGCUUUGAAUACUGGCUUCACAAGAAGAGGAAACUACAGCAUAAGUGACAGUCAUACACACAUACUGCAAAGUACUCACUACAGUACAGGAGGUGGAGAAAAGACGAGCAAUUCCCCAAAGAUCCAACAUCUGAUUCUCAGGAAGAAGAACAACAGAGAAGAAGAUAUGAAAUGGACUCAGAACUAUUAAGAAAAGGAGCUCUGGGACACAGAAUGGAAGAGCCUUCCGAGCAGAAGGAUGAACAAAGAUGUAAGAUACAUAUUUGAACAUGAAAAUGGAACUGCUGCAUCAGAGGUUAAGUACCGUCACAUCUCCCUCCGAUUGCCAAACUGCCAUCCUAAAACAGUCCAUCUGGGGCCUUCCUGGUGGCUCGGGUAAAGGAUCCGCCUGGCAAUGCAGGAGACACAGCUUCCGUCCCUGCUCUGGGGAGACCCCACACGCUGCAGAACAAGCAAGCCUGUGGGCCACAGCUGUUGAGCCAGGGCUCCGGAGCCCGCGAGCCACAGGGACGUAAGCCCUCCCGCCCUGGAGCCCACGCUCCGAAACAAGAGAAACCCCCACAGGGAGAGGCCCAUGCACCGCAACUAGAGAGGAGCCCCCGCUUGCCGCAACUAGAGAAAAGCCCGUGCGGUGAUGAAGAUCCAGCACAGUCAA